Molecule: long non-coding RNA, 526 nt
Organism: Ictalurus punctatus (channel catfish)
Lineage: Eukaryota; Metazoa; Chordata; Actinopteri; Siluriformes; Ictaluridae
Source: Ensembl
UUUAGAGCUAGACAGUAUUCCAAUAUUUUUUAAAGCUAGACAGUGUUCCAAUACUUUUCAAACUAGACAGUGUUCCAAUACUUUUGGAGCUAGAUGGCAUUCCAAUACUUUUAGAGCUACACAGUGUUCCAAUACUUUUGGAGCUAGACGGUGUUCCAAUACUUUUGGAGCUAGACGGUGUUCCAAUACUUUUUGAGCUAGACGGUGUUCCAAUACUUUUGGAGCUAGACAGAGUUCUAAUACUUUUAGAGCCAGACAGUGUUCCAAUACUUUAGGAGCUACUCAGCAUUCCAAUACUUUUAGGCUUCAGGCCAUGUGCACUCAGGUGUGUGAAUUUUGACAACUUGGCACCAUGAGGCACACAAACGCCAGCAUCCGAGCUGAGAUCCACAAAACCCUCGAGACCCAGGUUCCGAACAUUCCCUCAAUGUAAGAGAAUGGAAGUUUUUGGACAUUUUCGUCAUCAGCAACGGGAAUAACGGAGUUGGAAUCAAUUUGGAAAAAGAGAGCCUGACCAGUGUGAUCG